AGGAGUCUAACAUGUGUACGAGUUAAUGGGUGAGUAAAUCCAUACGGCAUAAGGAAGCUGAUUGGUGGGAUCCCCCUGAGGGGUGCACUGUCGACCAACUUUGAUUUUCUGAGAAGGGUUUAAGUGUGAGCAUACCUAUCAGGACUCGAAAGAUGGUGAAACAUGCCUGAGCAGGAUAAAGCCAGAGGAAACUCUGGUGGAUGCUCACAGUGAUACUGCCAUGUAAGUUAUUUAUCUGACUUGGUAUAGGGGCGAAAGACUAAUCAAAUCGUCUAGUAGCUGGUUCCCUCUGAAGUUUUCUCAAGAUAGUUGGAUCUUGCGUGUGAGCUCUAUCGAGUAAAGCCUAUGAUUUGAGGCCUCAGGGGCGUAACGCUCUUGACCUAUUUUCAAACUUUAAAUAGGUAGGAUGGUAUGACUACUUUGUUGAGUUGCGCCAUGCAAUUAAGAGAUCCAAGUUGGCUAUUUUGGGUAAGCAGAACUGGUGAUGCGAGAUGAAUCGAAAGAUGGAUUAUGGUGAGAAACUGCGUGCUAACUUAGAUCCCACAAAGGGUGUUGGUUGAUUGAGACAGCAGAACGCUGGUCAUAAAAGUCGAAAUCCACUAAGGAGUAUGUAAUAACUUACCUGCCAAAUGAACUAGCCCCAAAAUGGAUGGCGCCUAAGCACGCGACCUACACCCGGUCGUCGGGGCAAGUGCCAAAAUAGAAGAAAAAUAUUUAUUUAUAAAUGGAUUUAAUUUAUCAUGAAGAGUUCAUUAUAUUCU
Non-coding RNA from Capsicum annuum, 761 nucleotides. The record is from Rfam. Lineage: Eukaryota; Viridiplantae; Streptophyta; Magnoliopsida; Solanales; Solanaceae.